Pundamilia nyererei is the source of this 326-nucleotide long non-coding RNA. RefSeq lists it as uncharacterized. The transcript has 3 exons. Lineage: Eukaryota; Metazoa; Chordata; Actinopteri; Cichliformes; Cichlidae. The record is from RefSeq and is a predicted model, not a curated record.
GGCAGGAAUAGUCAGAUUGUUACACCACAAACUCUGCCUUUUACCAUUCAAGCCUUUCAAUGGCGGAAGACGGUUCAGUGCUCUGAACCACCAGCGUUCCCAAGGCAGGAGAUCCUUGGGGUAGAGCCAUGUGUACGACUAUGAUGGUCCUCACCACCAUUGCUCUCAUCCUACGACAGAGGUUCUCCAACAAAAUCAAACCGCAGAGAGAGGAGUUUGAGGAAGACGUGCCAUACAUGAAGAGCAACGGAGAAACAGAAACAGAGAAAUGACUGGUGGCCUCUUGAUGUCAACACUUGUUCCACUGAUGCUACAGGACAGACUUC